GGGGGGGGGGGGGGUAUCAAAUAGUUGGUCGGCAAAUUCUCGGCAAAACAUGAAUUGGAUAGGAAGGAACGAAAUUAAAAUGGUUGAGUAAAAUUGGCCAAAUGUAGGGAAAUAAUAAGGAAAAAGAUAACGAGAAGCGGUCCGUGUAUUGGAAACAUUGGGAAAGUAGGAAUGUUCGGGGAAAAGUUUUCACACGCUUUCCGGAAAAAAAUUUUCAGAGUGUCCCACCGCCUUGCCUGUCUCGUCUAUCCCGGAUGAAUAUAUAAUUCUCAAUUUCCAUUUCCCAAUCGGCGACUUCGCUUUUUAAAUGCAUUUAAACAUAAUAUAACUUUAGUAGGAUACGUAAUAAUAAUACGGUUCUCAUUUUUUUUUUUCAAAGAUUUAUCAUAAAACAACUCAAAAAUAAAAUAUUUGUCUUGCAUAUUUUGCGAGAUAUAGCCAUUCGAAAUCGUUAAGAUUGCGAAAAUAGGUUGACUAGAAUACAUUUUCUAUAUUUUAAUUUGAACGAACAGUUAGUGCAAACGUUAACGUCACGGCCUGCCGUUCUGACUUUCACGGUUCGAAUCCCAUUCGUGUCGUUUCGUUGAUUUUGUUUUUCAUUUUUUUUUUCUUUAUUGAGAAUGCGUUUAUAUGUUCCUUUUACAAUCCUAUAUGUCUUUUAAAUGUUUUUGGACAAGAUUUCCCCAAUACAAAAUUGUGCGACGGCUACUUUGCUCUAUUAACAUUCGUUACCAGUUCCCCAAGUGUAUAUAUGUAUAUAUGUAUAUAUGUAUAUAUGUAUAUAUGUAUAUAUUAAAUUAUAAUUUUUACAAAAUUUUACAGUGUUCUCCGGAUUGCAAUG
Paramuricea clavata is the source of this 841-nucleotide non-coding RNA. Lineage: Eukaryota; Metazoa; Cnidaria; Anthozoa; Malacalcyonacea; Plexauridae. The record is from the annotation of a GenBank genome assembly.